Non-coding RNA from Ceratotherium simum simum (southern white rhinoceros), 87 nucleotides. Lineage: Eukaryota; Metazoa; Chordata; Mammalia; Perissodactyla; Rhinocerotidae. The record is from RefSeq and is a predicted model, not a curated record.
GAUUUCUAGUUUCACACCAUUGUGGUUGGAAAAAAUACUUGAUAUGAUGUCAGUCUUCUUAAAUUUAUUGAGUCUUGCAUUUCUAUC